This 446-nucleotide ribosomal RNA is filed under the name uncultured bacterium. RNAcentral describes it as "bacterial SSU rRNA". It matches the Rfam family "Bacterial small subunit ribosomal RNA", at positions 330 to 792 of the family's 1533-position model. The record is from RNAcentral.
UCCAGACUCCUACGGGAGGCAGCAGUGGGGGAUAUUGCACAAUGGGGGAAACCCUGAUGCAGCGACGCCGCGUGAGGGAAGAAGGUUUUCGGAUUGUAAACCUCUGUCUUCGGUGACGAAACGAGACGGUAGCCGAGGAGGAAGCCACGGCUAACUACGUGCCAGCAGCCGCGGUAAUACGUAGGUGGCAAGCGUUGUCCGGAAUUACUGGGUGUAAAGGGCGUGUAGGCGGGGAAGCAAGUCAGAUGUGAAAACCACGGGCUCAACCUGUGGCCUGCAUUUGAAACUGUUUUUCUUGAGUACUGGAGAGGCAGACGGAAUUCCUAGUGUAGCGGUGAAAUGCGUAGAUAUUAGGAGGAACACCAGUGGCGAAGGCGGUCUGCUGGACAGCAACUGACGCUGAGGCGCGAAAGCGUGGGGAGCAAACAGGAUUAGAUACCCCGGUA